UCCGUUUUAUUUAGUAAGAAAGAAAAAGUAAAAUUUAGCGAAAUCGAAAACCAUCCGAAUAAACGGUGAGAUUUUACUAUUUAACCCUUCAAUUUUCGUCUACUUUAGUAUCCUCCGUUUCAAGCACCGGCGGUGUGAUUCCCAUUCCGUCGCAAUACUCGUUAACCGCACCGCUAACCUCCGGCGAAAACUCUCCACCAGACGAAAAAACCACGGCAGCGCAUUUCUCCGGCAUUCCAUGUAAAAUCACUUUACAACAAUCGUAACUCACCUCGAUCUCAUUACUCUUCAUCGCCGUGUCGAUUUGAUUCUGGCAUCCUUCCACCGCGUUUAUCGCGUCCCAACAAUCGGCUGAAUAAACCGCCUCCGCAAUUUUUCUAACAGCGAAAGCCGAUUGAAACGACGAUGAAAUUGCUAGGGCACAGAGGAAGAAUCCGAAAAAUCGAAAAGAUUUAGACAUUGUCAGAAAAUUGCAAGAUCCUACGGUGGACAAAAACCUCAAAUAGUGGCCGUUGGAUGAUGAUGUGUAUUGACACGUGGCGGUUGUAAGGAAGAUCAGGAAAAUAUAUUCUAUGUUAUAUUCGAUUUUAUUUUAUAAAAGAAUCUUCGAUAUACGAGAGAGAUGCCUGUCGUCGUUCGUUGCUAUAAUAGAAAAAGAUCUUCCUACCAUUUUAACACA
Cucumis melo (muskmelon) is the source of this 679-nucleotide long non-coding RNA. RefSeq lists it as uncharacterized. The record is from RefSeq and is a predicted model, not a curated record. The transcript is spliced from 2 exons. Lineage: Eukaryota; Viridiplantae; Streptophyta; Magnoliopsida; Cucurbitales; Cucurbitaceae.